Molecule: ribosomal RNA, 440 nt
Filed under: uncultured Glomus
Lineage: Eukaryota; Fungi; Glomeromycota; Glomeromycetes; Glomerales; Glomeraceae
Description: SSU rRNA
Rfam family: Eukaryotic small subunit ribosomal RNA
Source: RNAcentral
AGCAGCCGCGGUAAUUCCAGCUCCAAUAGCGUAUAUUAAAGUUGUUGCAGUUAAAAAGCUCGUAGUUGAAUUUCGGGGUUAGUAGGUUGGUCAUGCCUCCGGUAUGUACUGGUCUCACUGAUUCCUCCUUCCUGAUGAACCGUAAUGCCAUUAAUUUGGUGUUGCGGGGAAUUUGGACUGUUACUUUAGAAAAAUUAGAGUGUUUAAAGCAAGCUAACGCUUGAAUACAUUAGCAUGGAAUAAUGAAAUAGGACGUUCGAUCCUAUUUUGUUGGUUUCUAGGAUUGACGUAAUGAUUAAUAGGGAUAGUUGGGGGCAUUAGUAUUCAAUUGUCAGAGGUGAAAUUCUUGGAUUUAUUGAAGACUAACUACUGCGAAAGCAUUUGCCAAGGAUGUUUUCAUUAAUCAAGAACGAAAGUUAGGGGAUCGAAGACGAUCAGAU